UACAGAGGGUGCAAGCGUUAAUCGGAAUUACUGGGCGUAAAGCGCUCGUAGGUGGUUUGGUAAGUUGGAUGUGAAAGCCCCGGGCUCAACCUGGGAAUUGCAUUUAAUACUGCUGAACUAGAGUAUGAUAGAGGAUAGUGGAAUUUCCGGUGUAGCGGUGAAAUGCGUAGAUAUCGGAAGGAACAUCAGUGGCGAAGGCGACUAUCUGGAUUAAUACUGACACUGAGGAGCGAAAGCGUGGGGAUCAAACAGG
Molecule: ribosomal RNA, 253 nt
Filed under: uncultured bacterium
Lineage: Bacteria
Description: partial 16S ribosomal RNA
Rfam family: Bacterial small subunit ribosomal RNA
Source: RNAcentral